CCUACGGGAGGCAGCAGUGGGGAAUAUUGGGCAAUGGGCGCAAGCCUGACCCAGCAACGCCGCGUGACGGAAGAAGGCUUUCGGGUUGUAAACUUCUUUUGACAGGGAAGAGCAGAAGACGGUACCUGUCGAAUAAGCCACGGCUAACUACGUGCCAGCAGCCGCGGUAAUACGUAGUUGGCAAGCGUUGUCCGGAUUUACUGGGUGUAAAGGGCGUGUAGCCGGGCUGACAAGUCAGAUGUGAAAUCCGGGGGCUCAACCCCCGAACUGCAUUUGAAACUGUUGGUCUAGAGUAAUGGAGAGGAUAGCGGAAUACCCAGUGUAGAGGUGAAAUUCGUAGAUAUUGGGUAGAAAACCGGUGGCGAAGGCGGCUAUCUGGCCAUUUACUGACGCUGAGGCUCGAAAGCAUGGGGAUCAAACAGGAUUAGAUACCCGAGUAGUC
This 442-nucleotide ribosomal RNA is filed under the name uncultured bacterium. RNAcentral's name for it is "partial 16S ribosomal RNA". It matches the Rfam family "Bacterial small subunit ribosomal RNA", at positions 338 to 795 of the family's 1533-position model. The record is from RNAcentral.